Molecule: non-coding RNA, 354 nt
Organism: Rattus norvegicus (Norway rat)
Lineage: Eukaryota; Metazoa; Chordata; Mammalia; Rodentia; Muridae
Source: RefSeq, a predicted model, not a curated record
GGUCACUUCCUCCUUAGGGGCUGACUACCAGUUAUCAAAGUAUUGAAGUCCAGCCAUCAAAAGCCCCCUAUGACCCCCGUUGAAGGAAUCAGAGAAAGGACUGGAAGAGGUUGAAGGGGCUCAAGACCCCAUAUGAACAACAAUGCCAAGCACCAGGGCUUCCAGGGACUAAGCCACUACCUAAAGACUAUACAUGGACUGACCCUGGACUCCCAACUGCAUAGAAAACAAGUGUGACUAAGAGGGGCUCCCAUGCCUGAGCCUCGGCUUCCAAAGUUCGAGAAUUCCGCCAUGACAGCUUCCUGGCUCCUCAUCAGCUGCGAUAGCCUUGGCAAAUAAAGUCUCCUCCUAGUA